RNAcentral lists this ribosomal RNA (747 nucleotides) under uncultured bacterium. Its description in RNAcentral is "bacterial SSU rRNA". It matches the Rfam family "Bacterial small subunit ribosomal RNA", at positions 8 to 750 of the family's 1533-position model. The record is from RNAcentral.
AGAGUUUGAUCCUGGCUCAGGAUGAACGCUAGCGGCAGGCUUAACACAUGCAAGUCGGACGGUAACAUGAGAGCUUGCUCUUGAUGACGAGUGGCGCACGGGUGCGUAACGCGUAUACAAUCUACCUUUUACAGGGGGAUAGCCUUUAGAAAUGAAGAUUAAUAUCCCAUGGUAUUAUUAACUGGCAUCAGUUAAUAAUUAAAGCUUCGGCGGUAAGAGAUGAGUAUGCGUUCUAUUAGCUAGAUGGUGUGGUAACGGCACACCAUGGCUACGAUAGAUAGGGGCCCUGAGAGGGGGAUCCCCCACACUGGUACUGAGACACGGACCAGACUCCUACGGGAGGCAGCAGUGAGGAAUAUUGGACAAUGGAGGCAACUCUGAUCCAGCCAUGCCGCGUGCAGGAAGACUGCCCUAUGGGUUGUAAACUGCUUUUAUACAGGAAGAAACCGCUCUACGUGUAGAGCUCUGACGGUACUGUAAGAAUAAGGAUCGGCUAACUCCGUGCCAGCAGCCGCGGUAAUACGGAGGAUCCAAGCGUUAUCCGGAAUCAUUGGGUUUAAAGGGUCCGUAGGUGGAUAAUUAAGUCAGAGGUGAAAGUUUGCAGCUCAACUGUAAAAUUGCCUUUGAUACUGGUUAUCUUGAGUUAUUAUGAAGUAGUUAGAAUAUGUAGUGUAGCGGUGAAAUGCAUAGAUAUUACAUAGAAUACCAAUUGCGAAGGCAGAUUACUAAUAAUUAACUGACACUGAU